RNAcentral lists this ribosomal RNA (496 nucleotides) under uncultured bacterium. RNAcentral describes it as "partial 16S ribosomal RNA". It matches the Rfam family "Bacterial small subunit ribosomal RNA", at positions 29 to 507 of the family's 1533-position model. The record is from RNAcentral.
AUGAACGCUGGCGGCGUGCCUAAUACAUGCAAGUCGAGCGAACAGACGAGGAGCUUGCUCCUCUGACGUUAGCGGCGGACGGGUGAGUAACACGUGGAUAACCUACCUAUAAGACUGGGAUAACUUCGGGAAACCGGAGCUAAUACCGGAUAAUAUAUUGAACCGCAUGGUUCAAUAGUGAAAGACGGUUUUGCUGUCACUUAUAGAUGGAUCCGCGCCGCAUUAGCUAGUUGGUAAGGUAACGGCUUACCAAGGCAACGAUGCGUAGCCGACCUGAGAGGGUGAUCGGCCGCACUGGAACUGAGACACGGUCCAGACUCCUACGGGAGGCAGCAGUAGGGAAUCUUCCGCAAUGGGCGAAAGCCUGACGGAGCAACGCCGCGUGAGUGAUGAAGGUCUUCGGAUCGUAAAACUCUGUUAUUAGGGAAGAACAAAUGUGUAAGUAACUAUGCACGUCUUGACGGUACCUAAUCAGAAAGCCACGGCUAACUACGUG